UGACAUUAAGAAGAUAAUAUGAUGUUGCGGAAGCACUUGCCAACUAACUAGGGCUGGAUGCUGAGGAGCAGUAUUCUCUACUAGAGAUCACAGAUGCCUACAUGUUUUCUUUCAGUCCUGUGUAAGGUGUACAUGCUGAGGAUGUAAGUGAACAAGUACAUCAGCUUUGUAAUUUUGAGAGCAUUUUGAAUAGUACAUUUCAGUUAGGAACUAGUAAGCUCAAAUAAUUUAAUUUUGAGCUAGUAAGCUCAAUUGAUCUUGAACCACUAUGCUACAUGUAUGCACUAGGAGUGUCACUCUCAGAAGUCUACACAGGAGCAUCUCAGCAUUUCUACCGAUUCUUUCCCACUUAUGUAUGUUAGAAAGACUGAGCCAGUGACUGGUAGGUCAUUGUCAGCUCUCCAUUCUUGCCAGGGCAAUAACCCAAAAGGUCAUCAGCAAAAAUAUCCAAACCAGAGCCAGGCAGUGUGGGGGUUGCCAAGCAUUCAAGGAUUUUACAGUCAAAACUGCUGCAUAUGUGAGCACAACAUGCAGUGUUGCAAUACUGUGAGUCUGUAUUUCUUAAUCCACUCACUGAAAUUAGUAAGGACCACCACUGUCUGUGUCAUAGACUGACUCUCUACUUCAGUGUCAUCAAGGUGUCAGCCAAAAAAUUCUGAGUGACAGUAAGAUUUGCUAUGGAAGAAUCCAAAGUAUGUACAGCUUUUGGCCCCCUUUUGGGAAGGGGCUGAUUGUGGAGUACAGUACAUGUUGUUGGCCUUUUUUUAUUUUUAAUGACUCAUAUUUUGGAUCUUAUUCCUAUUUGUCUUUCAGUGCCAAACAGAAAUUACUAUUUAGGUCAAACUGCUGUUGUGGUACUAAUAGAAGCAGACAUGAGUUUUGUCGAUGGAUUUCACAGCUAUGCAUUUUGCAGAGUGAAGUUCCCUCUCUAGGCUACUUCUGACAUUUAGCUGUGAUGGUAUUAAUACCAGCUUCUAGUGCUACUUCUGCCAUUAUACUUGCACACGCUCAGCUGGGGAAUAUAGCUGGGAAGUUACCUUUCAGCUAUAGCUUUUUUUUCAUGCAGACUCUGAGUACAGCAUCUUCUUCUCCCAGAUCCAGCUUUUGGGCCACUUCAUGCUGCUGCUGCAUGGUCCCAGCUCUUCCUGUGCACUGGUGUGAUCCAGCCUCUUGGCCUGUCUGUGGCUGCUGCCAGCUUUGCUAUGUUCUGCUUCUUUUAGAGGGUUUUUUUUCUAACUCUGACUCCCCUGGCUCUUGCUUAAUGCUUCCUGAGGAGUGACAGCUUUGGAGAGGAGCCUCAGCUCAUGCCCAGAGGUUUUCAGCCUGUAUUCUGGUCCAUGCCUCGACUCAGAUUCUGGUGUAUCUCUGCAGUGAGGUUUGCUGCACUGCUGCCCUGGAACCAGUGCCUUGGGCAUGCAUGGAAGUGGGAGACCUGCUAGCUUAGGUGCCAGAAGGCUGGCACUAGCAAAUGGGGUUGCUGCAAGCCUCUCAUCCCUUCCCAUCAGGUAACAGAGUGAAUUCAACUAUCUCUGCAAUACAAAGCUGACACAAUUUAAGAGCCACCAUGACCCAUUAGAUGGUCCAUGGGAAUUACAUAAAAUUAAAGAGGGGUGGGGCUGAUUGGCUGCCUGCUGGUGUAACUCUGUGUGUGCAAGACUUCAUUGAAUUUCCUCCAGUUCUCAUCAUCUGAAUAUUGGCUCUCCAUUUUCAACUCUGAGCAUUGAGAUUUCUGAAGAUGGAUCUUUAAACCAAUUUAUGCACAGACGCUCGACCCUGAGCUACAGCCAAAGAUAUGGGCUGAGAGAGAAAGUACAAAAAUGGAUUUAAGGUAUCUUUGAAUUUCUGCAUUAUUUGUAUUACUUUGCUUGCUCUGGUUAAAUAAUACUUUAACUUGCAGAAUAGCCAAACAUGAGCUAGUUAGCAGUCCAGCGGCCUCUACUACCAGCUAAUGUUUAGAAGGCCAAAAGUACCUCCUAAGGCUACUUACUCUUUUCUUCCUUUCCAUCCUCAGAUUUUUCUGCAGGUAAUAGGAGCCCUAAAAUUACUUGAUUUUUGUUCACUUUCUGAGAGGGUUGUGCUAACAGGAACAGCAUGACUGCGCACAGCCUGAUAAUUAGGUCUGGUUUUACUUACAUAGAUAACAACAUGGUUUCUGUGAAAUUUCCCAAUCCCUUUCAAACUGAUCCUCUUUUACAGUACAUGUAUGAUAUAACUUCCAAGACUGCAUUAAUUUUCUCUUCCUGGUUUUGUCUCUUGUUUUUGUGUUUGGCUUUGUUCUGUGGGGUUUUCUUUCCUGGUCAAUUGUUUCACCCAAACUUUGUAUGCACAACAGUUGAUGCCACCCUAAACUCUCAUAACAGAAGGAUGUUCUUACCACUUAUUGCUUUGAGUUGAUAGUCGUGCUCUGAACUAACAGAAGUUAGUUGCAGCACCCACAUUUAAUCAUAACUGUGCAUAUGGUUUAGCUCUCACAGAUAGCAGGAAUGAGUAUUUAGUAGCUAGAAGGAGGUAUUUUAAUGAGACUUUGAAGCAGACCAUUCAACCCAGAGCUAAUGGCCUUUCCGUAAUAAGGAAUUAUUUUAUUUUACUGUCUUGUAGCUACAGUGAUAUGGUAUCCAGACUUGGGAUUAUUCCUUCAUUCUUCCUGCAAGUGGCUGCAAAGGGCAUGGAGGAACUGGAGAAGACAGAGCUGGUCAAAAACUUAAUUCCGUCCCCUCCCCAUGUCAGCCUUAAUCAUAAUGAAGGACCUUGGCAGAGAGGAGAGCAGACAAACAUCCUGUGUGUGUGGAUGACGUCCCUGCUCACAGCCUAAAUUAACUGUCAGAGAUACCUACGCUCCAAAACAAGUAUUUCCAGUGCAUGGGAAUGCUGUGAUCACAGCACAGGAGAAACAAGGUGCAAACUUCUCAGCAUCACCAGAGCAGCCUGGUGGCUGUUGGGUGGGAAAAGUAGUCAUACACUGCUCAGUGCCCUAGAGAGGAGGUUAAGCUUCCAGACCCAACAAUGACCUGAGCCUAGUGCUAAGCCCUGUUUAGCAGUGCACCGCCACUGAGCUUUUUCCAUCACUCCCAGCCCUGAGCAGCCAUCUGUCUGUUCCUGCAGCCAUUGAGUUUGCUAAGUCAGUGAGAACUUCUCCCCAUAAAUUCCCACUUUGCUUCUGGCAUGACCUGGACUGUUUUUUCUCCCUUGCCUUGCAGAACCAUCCCAUCUUUCCUAGUCGUGUUUCCUUUACUCUUCCUACAAUUUUUUCAGAAAUGUAUAUGAGCUAUCCAAUUACCUCACCCCUUGGUGAGGGAAGGUGGAGUACAGAGGUCAAUAGACUGAGAUCUCUUUCUGCCCAAACUGGUUCACCUGGAUAUUGGUUCCCAACCAGUCUUCCUGUGAGGUGGGGAAGGGGCAAGGCAAGAUGGAAAAGUAGGAGAAAUCAGGAGCAGGAGGGCUUAUUCUGAAAGAAUUAGGGGAAGAUUGCUCCAGGCAAGGAGUCUACAUAAU
This 3492-nucleotide long non-coding RNA is filed under the name Taeniopygia guttata (zebra finch). RNAcentral describes it as "lncRNA (ENSTGUG00000024614.1)". The record is from RNAcentral. Lineage: Eukaryota; Metazoa; Chordata; Aves; Passeriformes; Estrildidae.